Molecule: ribosomal RNA, 426 nt
Filed under: uncultured bacterium
Lineage: Bacteria
Description: bacterial SSU rRNA
Rfam family: Bacterial small subunit ribosomal RNA
Source: RNAcentral
GUGAGGAAUUUUCCGCAAUGGGCGAAAGCCUGACGGAGCAAUGCCGCGUGAAGGAUGAAGGCCUAUGGGUUGUAAACUUCUUUUCUCAGAAAAGAAUUAUGACGGUAUCUGAGGAAUAAGCAUCGGCUAACUCUGUGCCAGCAGCCGCGGUAAGACAGAGGAUGCAAGCGUUAUCCGGAAUGAUUGGGCGUAAAGCGUCUGUAGGUUGUUUAAAAAGUAUUCUGUCAAAGAUUAGGGCUUAACCCUAGAUAGGCAGAAUAAACUUUUAAGCUAGAGUUUGGAAGAGGCAGAGGGAAUUCCCGGUGGAGCGGUGAAAUGCGUAGAUAUCGGGAGGAACACCAAAGGCGAAGGCACUCUGCUGGGCCAAUACUAACACUGAGAGACGAAAGCGAGGGGAGCAAAUGGGAUUAGAAACCCUUGUAGUCC